GGAUAUGAGGACCAUCUGGAUAUAACCAUCUGUUACUGUUAUUCCACUUAUCACCAGGAUUGAUUUGGAUGAUUUGCUUGGUUAAACAGGUAUCCACUUCUUCCAUCAGCACUCAUGUACAUCCUCCCACGGCUGUAUGCUUAAAGACAAUGAUUUUCACAAAUAGGGGAGGACUGGUCUUCAAUUAAGGACAUAGGAAUAGUUGUGCUCCCUUGGAAAGAACAACCAAGUAAGUUAUGAAGAAAUACUGUUCUGCAUUUAAAUGUUAAGUAUCCCCUAGGUGUUCACACUGUACAGG
This 298-nucleotide small nuclear RNA is filed under the name Microtus ochrogaster (prairie vole). RNAcentral's name for it is "7SK RNA (ENSMOCG00000007879.1)". It matches the Rfam family "7SK RNA". From Rfam's summary of the family: 7SK was discovered as an abundant small nuclear RNA in the mid-70s but a possible function has only recently been suggested. Two independent studies have found that 7SK RNA binds the CDK9/cyclin T complex (known as elongation factor P-TEFb). Lineage: Eukaryota; Metazoa; Chordata; Mammalia; Rodentia; Cricetidae. The record is from RNAcentral.